GCGGCAGUGUGAGGCACGCCAGCAGCUUCGAGAAGGGAGGAUGCUGAGCCUGCGCUGCCGGCUGGGGCUCCUGCUGCUGGCCCUGCUCCGAGCAUCUCGCCCGGACACUCAGGGGCAGCCUGGCAGCCCCGAGGGGAGAGGAGCUCGGGCAGAAAUCCCAGCGUCUGCAUCAGGAGAGGCACAGGACAGGAGCUCUUGUGGUGCUGGGAUUGGCACCAGCAAUUUCACAGCUGGUUAGUGAGCCUACGAGGGGUGGUGCCCCACUAAACCUUCUCUUCACAAACAGAGAAGGACUGGUGGGAGAUGUGGUUGUCGGGAGCUGUCUUGGGCAGAGUGACCACGAAAUGGUGGAGUUCACUAUUCUUGGCGAGGCCAGGAAGGGGACCAGUAAAACCGCUGUACUGGACUUUCGGAGGGCUGACUUUGGGCUGCUCAGGACACUGGUUGGUGGAAUCCCUUGGGAGGCGGUUCUGAAGGGCAGAGGGGUCCAGGAAGGCUGGGCGCUCUUCAAGAGGGAAAUCCUAAUGGUACAGGAGCGGUCUGUUCCCAUGUGCCCAAAGAUGAGCUGGCGGGGAAGAAGACCAGCCUGGCUGAACAGAGAAUUGUGGCUUGAGCUUAGGAGAAAAAAGAGGGUUUAUAAUCUUUGGAAAAUUGGGCAGGCCACUAGGGAGGACUAUAAGAAUGUAGCGAGGCUGUGCAGGGACAAAAUUAGGAAGGCCAAAGCUCAUCUGGAGCUCAAUCUGGCUACUGCCGUUAAAGGUAACAAAAAAUAUUUUUAUAAAUACAUCAACACAAAAAGGAGGACUAAGGAGAAUCUCCAUCCUCUACUGGAUGCGGGGGGAAACUUAGUUACAAGAGAUGAGGAAAAGGCGGAGGUGCUCAAUGCCUUCUUUGCCUCAGUCUUUAGCGGCAAUACCGGUUGUUCUCUGGAUACCCAGUACCCUGAGCUGGUGGAAGGGGAUGGGGAGCAGGAUGCGGCCCUCACCAUCCACAAAGAACUGGUUGGAGACCUGCUACGGCACUUGGAUGUGCACAAGUCGAUGGGGCCGGAUGGGAUCCACCCAAGGGUACUGAGAGAACUGGCAGAGGAGCUGG
This 1095-nucleotide long non-coding RNA is filed under the name Anas platyrhynchos platyrhynchos (common mallard). RNAcentral's name for it is "lncRNA (ENSAPLG00000017040.1)". The record is from RNAcentral. Lineage: Eukaryota; Metazoa; Chordata; Aves; Anseriformes; Anatidae.